AUCUGAUUGGUAAAAUAGUUGUUAGAACAACCUGUAUACCACUCUACAGUUUGCAUUCUAUUUGCCUACAGGUGGUCGAACUCUACAAAUUAUUCGGGCCAAGAUAUCAGAUGGUGGUGAAUACACUUGUAUAGCUAUCAAUCAAGCUGGCGAAAGCAAGAAAAAGUUUUCCCUGACUGUUUAUGGUUUGUUUUUACUCUCUUCAUAAAAUUCUUUUAUUUUAAAACUGGUAUUCAAUAUUUUCUAUCUGAGCACCUUAAUGAAAAAAAAAAAAAUCCUUCUGUUUUCUUCCCUCAGUGCCCCCGAGCAUUAAAGACCAUGACAGUGAAUCUCUUUCUGUAGUUAAUGUAAGAGAGGGAACUUCUGUGUCUUUGGAGUGCGAGUCGAACGCUGUCCCACCUCCAGUCAUCACUUGGUAUAAGAAUGGGCGGAUGAUAACAGAGUCUACUCAUGUGGAGAUUUUAGCCGAUGGACAAAUGCUACACAUUAAGAAAGCUGAGGUAUCUGACACAGGCCAGUAUGUAUGUAGAGCUAUAAAUGUAGCAGGACGGGAUGAUAAAAAUUUCCACCUCAAUGUAUAUGUGCCACCCAGUAUUGAAGGACCUGAAAGAGAAGUGAUUGUGGAGACAAUCAGCAAUCCUGUGACGUUAACAUGUGAUGCCACUGGGAUCCCACCUCCCACGAUAGCAUGGUUAAAGAACCACAAGCACAUAGGUAAGUCAACUGUGCAUUUUGUGUGUGUGUGUAUUUUUUUUCUU
RNAcentral lists this long non-coding RNA (758 nucleotides) under Rhinopithecus bieti (black snub-nosed monkey). RNAcentral describes it as "lncRNA (ENSRBIG00000045167.1)". Lineage: Eukaryota; Metazoa; Chordata; Mammalia; Primates; Cercopithecidae. The record is from RNAcentral.